This 406-nucleotide ribosomal RNA is filed under the name uncultured bacterium. RNAcentral's name for it is "partial 16S ribosomal RNA". It matches the Rfam family "Bacterial small subunit ribosomal RNA", at positions 30 to 526 of the family's 1533-position model. The record is from RNAcentral.
AUUGAACGCUGGCGGCAGGCCUAACACAUGCAAGUCGAACGAGUGGCGGACGGGUGAGUAAUGUCUGGGAACCUGCCCGAUGGAGGGGGAUAACUACUGGAAACGGUAGCUAAUACCGCAUACCCUCGGAUGUGACCAGAUGGGAUUAGCUAGUAGGUGGGGUGAAGGCUGACCUAGGCGACGAUCCCUAGCUGGUCUGAGAGGAUGACCGUCCACACGGGAACUGCGACACGGUCCCGACUCCUACGUGAGUCAGCAGUGGGGAAUAUUGCACAAUGGGCGCAAGCCUGAUGCAGCCAUGCCGCGUGUAUUAAGAAUGCCUUCGGGUUGUAAUGUACGUGCAGCGGGGAGGCGUUACCCGCAGAAGAAGCACCGGCUAACUCCGUGCCAGCAGCCGCGGUAAUAC